Molecule: ribosomal RNA, 45 nt
Filed under: Ancylothrix terrestris 12PC
Lineage: Bacteria; Bacillati; Cyanobacteriota; Cyanophyceae; Oscillatoriales; Microcoleaceae
Description: partial 23S ribosomal RNA
Source: RNAcentral
GGUCAAGCUACAAAGAGCUAGUGGUGGAUACCUAAGCACACAGAG